Molecule: ribosomal RNA, 497 nt
Filed under: uncultured bacterium
Lineage: Bacteria
Description: partial 16S ribosomal RNA
Rfam family: Bacterial small subunit ribosomal RNA
Source: RNAcentral
GAUGAACGCUGGCGGCGUGCCUAAUACAUGCAAGUCGAGCGAACAGACGAGGAGCUUGCUCCUCUGACGUUAGCGGCGGACGGGUGAGUAACACGUGGAUAACCUACCUAUAAGACUGGGAUAACUUCGGGAAACCGGAGCUAAUACCGGAUAAUAUAUUGAACCGCACGGUUCAAUAGUGAAAGACGGUUUUGCUGUCACUUAUAGAUGUAUCCGCGCCGCAUUAGCUAGUUGGUAAGGUAACGGCUUACCAAGGCAACGAUGCGUAGCCGACCUGAGAGGGUGAUCGGCCACACUGGAACUGAGACACGGUCCAGACUCCUACGGGAGGCAGCAGUAGGGAAUCUUCCGCAAUGGGCGAAAGCUUGACGGAGCAACGCCGCGUGAGUGAUGAAGGUCUUCGGAUCGUAAAACUCUGUUAUUAGGGAAGAACAAAUGUGUAAGUAACUAUGCACGUCUUGACGGUACCUAAUCAGAAAGCCACGGCUAACUACGUG